This 336-nucleotide unclassified non-coding RNA is filed under the name soil metagenome. RNAcentral's name for it is "partial contains 5.8S ribosomal RNA, internal transcribed spacer 2, and large subunit ribosomal RNA". The stretch from base 1 to 120 matches the Rfam family "5.8S ribosomal RNA", at positions 35 to 154 of the family's 154-position model. The record is from RNAcentral.
GAUGAAGAACGCAGCGAAAUGCGAUAAGUAAUGUGAAUUGCAGAAUUCAGUGAAUCAUCGAAUCUUUGAACGCACAUUGCGCCCGCCAGUGUUCUGGCGGGCAUGCCUGUUCGAGCGUCAUUUCAACCAUCAAGCCCCCGGCUUGUGUUGGGGACCUGCGGCUGCCGCAGGCCCUGAAAACCAGUGGCGGGCUCGCUGUCACACCGAGCGUAGUAGAUUUUCAUCUCGCUCAGGGCGUGCUGCGGGUUCCGGCCGUAAAAAGCCUUAUUUACCCAAGGUUGACCUCGGAUCAGGUAGGAAGACCCGCUGAACUUAAGCAUAUCAAUAAGCGGAGGA